AGUGAACGCUGGCGGUAGGCCUAACACAUGCAAGUCGAACGGCAGCACAGUAAGAGCUUGCACUUACGGGUGGCGAGUGGCGGACGGGUGAGGAAUACAUCGGAAUCUACUUUUUCGUGGGGGAUAACGUAGGGAAACUUACGCUAAUACCGCAUACGACCUACGGGUGAAAGCAGGGGAUCUUCGGACCUUGCGCGAUUGAAUGAGCCGAUGUCGGAUUUGCUAGUUGGCGGGGUAAAGGCCCACCAAGGCGACGAUCCGUAGCUGAUCUGAGAGGAUGAUCAGCCACACUGGAACUGAGACACGGUCCAGACUCCUACGGGAGGCAGCAGUGGGGAAUAUUGGACAAUGGGCGCAAGCCUGAUCCAGCCAUACCGCGUGAGUGAAGAAGGCCUUCGGGUUGUAAAGCCCUUUUGUUGGGAAAGAAAAGCAGCAGGUUAAUACCCCGCUGUUCUGACGGUACCCAAAGAAUAAGCACCGGCUAACUUCGUG
RNAcentral lists this ribosomal RNA (492 nucleotides) under uncultured bacterium. RNAcentral's name for it is "partial 16S ribosomal RNA". It matches the Rfam family "Bacterial small subunit ribosomal RNA", at positions 29 to 507 of the family's 1533-position model. The record is from RNAcentral.